CUGAUCUGAUGAUGGAGACAGGAGGUGGCCAUAGGAACUCUGUGAUGAAACAGCGCAACCUAAUUGUGUUAGGGGUUUUUAGAAUUGUCUCGAUGAGUUUUAGUUUGAGAGUCAGGAUGGCGGGUGUACCUAGAUAAAAAUAAACAAAAAGCAUACCAUAUUUUAGUACCUAAUUUGUACUAUUUGGUACCUCCUUUAAAAAAAUUAGUACCUCACGGUAUUAAAAGUUAUCACCAAAAAACAUUACACCCGCCAUUCUGACAGUCAGAAUGGCGGGUGUAUUUUAUUACGCAAUGAUCCCGCGAUUAUUGAUAAAUUCUAUAAAAGACAAA
Cydia splendana is the source of this 332-nucleotide long non-coding RNA. RefSeq lists it as uncharacterized. The transcript is spliced from 2 exons. Lineage: Eukaryota; Metazoa; Arthropoda; Insecta; Lepidoptera; Tortricidae. The record is from RefSeq and is a predicted model, not a curated record.